GAUGAACGCUGGCGGCGUGCCUAAUACAUGCAAGUCGAGCGAACAGACGAGGAGCUUGCUCCUUUGACGUUAGCGGCGGACGGGUGAGUAACACGUAGGUAACCUACCUAUAAGACUGGGAUAACUUCGGGAAACCGGAGCUAAUACCGGAUAAUAUUUCGAACCGCAUGGUUCGAUAGUGAAAGAUGGCUUUGCUAUCACUUAUAGAUGGACCUGCGCCGUAUUAGCUAGUUGGUAAGGUAACGGCUUACCAAGGCAACGAUACGUAGCCGACCUGAGAGGGUGGUCGGCCACACUGGAACUGAGACACGGUCCAGACUCCUGCGGGAGGCAGCAGUAGGGAAUCUUCCGCAAUGGGGGAGAGCCUGACAGAGCAACGCCGCGUGAGUGAUGAAGGUCUUCGGAUCGUAAAGCUCUGUUAUUAGGGAAGAACAAACGUGUAAGUAACUGUGCACGUCUUGACGGUACCUAAUCAGAAAGCCACGGCUAACUACGUG
RNAcentral lists this ribosomal RNA (497 nucleotides) under uncultured bacterium. RNAcentral's name for it is "partial 16S ribosomal RNA". It matches the Rfam family "Bacterial small subunit ribosomal RNA", at positions 28 to 507 of the family's 1533-position model. The record is from RNAcentral.